GGACUACGUCUUCUUCGUCCUUCAUCUCCAUUAACACUUUCUAGCCCUUUUUCCUUCUAUUCUUCAAAUCAAGUCUCUUUGGCCCUUUCAUUCUCUCUUCUUAUAUGUAGAGAUUUUGGUCUGAGAAUUAGUGUUUUGGCGAUAUGACAAUGAAUGAGCGGAAGACAAUUGACCUAGAGCAAGGAUGGGAGUUUAUGCAAAAGGGGAUAACAAAGCUGAAGAACAU
This 226-nucleotide unclassified non-coding RNA is filed under the name Hevea brasiliensis (rubber tree). The record is from RNAcentral. Lineage: Eukaryota; Viridiplantae; Streptophyta; Magnoliopsida; Malpighiales; Euphorbiaceae.